CGGCCGCAAGAAUACGAUUUCGUGCAGAUCGCCCUUCGUGAGAUACACGCAGGAACACACAUAUACACUCGACGCAGCACGGGCAAGGGUCCAGGAAGCAGAAGCAGUCGUGGGAACAGAAUGGUAUCUGUGUCCGCCAGCCGUGGUGGCGGCAGCGGUGGCAGCGGCAGCCUGCACGCUGGGCAUCCCAUCUCUCGCGUCGCGACGCUUCGGUUCAACGGAAAGGACACUGUCACAGUCGUGUGCGCUGGUGGAUCGUGUGUGUCGGUGCAGCCGGCGCCGCGGUGGUUGACCUGCUCGCUGGCAAGCAGUGGCGCCGUAGCCGGGGGACAUGGUGGACUCUACAGCGCUACCGCAAUGGCUGCAUCAUCUCCGCUGGGUAUGGCAAACUAUGUGGAUGGUAAUCCCCUCGGCGUGGCCGGGCAGGAGGCAGGAAAGGGUACUGGUGCCCUCUUGGCAGCAGUGCAGCGGUGCUCGGCCGAGCUUUCGCAUGAGUUCGGAGAAGGCGUGGCGCUCAUGACCAGUGAACCUGCUGCCGCUACAACUUCCUCGCACGCCUCGCCACUGUCGCCAGAGCAGCAAGUUGCCCUUAGCGCCGGCGCCGUUACGUGCCUCUCUGUCGCCUCCCUCCCUGGUACCACAGACACGGCCGUUGCAGUAGUCGGCACCACCGUUGGCACCGUGGCGCUGCUGCUUAUCGAGGGCAGCCGCGCCGUCUACAAGGUUGCCGAGCGCUCGCUGACGGAGUGGAGCAGCGGCGCUAUCACGGCACAGGAUGCCAUCGUGGACGUGGCCUUCAGCAUGGACCCGGCUGGACGGCCGGAGUUCGUCAGUGCCGCCAGUGCCGGGUGCGUCGUGGUCGUGGAUGUGCAACUGCUCUACCGGCCAUCUGGUAACGGCAGUCACAGCACCGACGAGGAGGUCGGAGACACGGCGACGGACGCGCCACCUGCCGUGGUGCACAGGGCAGAGUGGCAUCAGGAGACAGAGCCGUGGUCGAACUCGGCACUUCGGGCCAAGGCCGUGGAGGCGCUUGAGCAGUCGGACGCGCAGCUGAUGCAGCGCUCCUGCAGUGACGUCUUCGCCUGCUCUUUCGUAGAGGCCGAUGUGGUGCGCAUUUUGGCUCCCCAGCGCCUGCAGGCCGCUGUCGCGAUAGACGUGGCGCUUAUCGUGGUGCUCAGCAGCGGUGCGCUGCACUACGUGGAGCGGGUGGUCGAGGGAGGCUCGGUGCGCCUCCUUGCGGAGCAUCACUGGCAGCGGCUCGCCAAGGGUGCCGCCUUCACGUCGCACGCAUCCGCGGCAACACAGGGAGAGGACAGCGCUGCCGCGAACGACUUUUCUACAGAUGGUGCUUCCGUGCGCAUCCUCACCGACAGUCGUGCCGUUCCGCACGUCAUUUACCGCUACCGCCUCUCACCUUACCACGUCCAGGCAUGCCAAGACGGCGGCCAGACGGCAAGCGUCGGUGGAGGUAACUACGGAAUGGCGGCGUUGGCGCUGUCGUCCGCGACGGAGUCGGUGACGCAUGUGUGUGACGCGCACUUGCACUUCAGCGAGAAGGACGCCGCGUGCCAUGUCGUGCUGGCCGGCACGCAGCGUGUGCCUGUCAGUAAGGUCGGCUACAUGUCGCUUGCCUCACGUGUCGGCUCGCUGGGUCAUGCCCAGCAGCAGCACUCUGGGGUAACUGGGUGUCGGGCCCUCGCAUGGUGGGCCGUCGUGCAGAACGCCGUCCUGCCGCGUCAGACGUUUGACCGAUCUGCGCUGGAACGGCAGAAGCUCCAGCAGCAGCAGCCACACAAUGGGCACGCCUUCUCGCCGUUUCGCACCAACGCUGGAUCACCGCCCUUCACGGUGCAUGUGCAGAGCAACACGAUGGCCUUACCGUGUGGGCUCGGCGCCUGUCCUGCCUCCGCGCUGACAUCUCCGGCGACCUCGUCGCCUGCCACAGCUGGGGCUGGUGUGGCUAGCGGCGUCAGUGGGGUCGGUCCCGGUCAAGGCAGUGGCUUUGCAGCGGCCUUCAUGCUCACAGACGUCCUUGUCUUAGCGUCCGGCCAGGAACUGUACGUUGGUGACCUCCGCGAUGUGCCGCGGAGCGCCAGGACCCUACCGGUGCUGCGCCCGCUGCGCUCCUUCGGCAGUGUCGUCGAGGGAAUUACCGCCGGGCCGUACAUGGACGCGCGAGCGGUGCUGGUGGCCACCGGCUCUCGUGUGGCCCCCGUGUUGCUUGUGUAAGUGCGCUCUCGUUCAGAUGAAAGCAACGUGAAGGCGCUCGCGCGCAGUCCGGCCAGAAGGGCACAGACACGUGCACGCGUUCGCUUGUCCCCCCUCCCUCCCCCCCCCAGCUCUGCCGUGAUGGCGACCGCGUACGUACUAGAUAGCUGUGCACGUGCGUGUAUGGUGGUGGGAAGGGGAGAGCUGAUCUUGUUCUAAUCGACCUCCCCCACCCCCAGCGCCCACAGCGGCGCGCGCAUUGUGCGCCCCCUCGCGCCGUAAGUGAUAGAUAAAAACCCCAAGUUGUGUAAGGCGGGCACAGUCGCUGAGGAUGCCGAGAGCGAGUGGCAGGCGUUGUAUGUGUGUGUGUGUGUGUGUGUGUGUGUGUGGAAGGUUGUGAGUGCUGCGCUUCCUCCCCCUGCCCGCCGCCACAGAGAGGGGGAGCUCGACGAGCUAUGAAUGCGUGUGCGCGCGCAUGAUCGCUAUUACGCCAAUGACGCGCAGUGCACGAGCAGUGCCCUACUGCCCCCCUCCCCUCCUCACCCCCGCCCACUCGUGGCACAUGUGUAUCUCUCUCAGCACGUGCGAGUGACUGCUGUGAUGCCCACAUCCCGAUGCAUACUCUCCCCCCACCACCACCGCCACACCCUCCUCUCCCUAUCAUCUGAUGUUUUUUUUUUGUGCUCGGGUACGUUGGUGGUGCACACAACGGUGUCUUGUGCCUCUCCACCCAACCCACCAAAUCCCCGCGUAUCUGCGUCGGCCCACACGACACACGGCUCAG
Molecule: unclassified non-coding RNA, 2995 nt
Filed under: Leishmania donovani
Lineage: Eukaryota; Euglenozoa; Kinetoplastea; Trypanosomatida; Trypanosomatidae
Description: gene:LdHU3.09.1180(CDS-product:hypothetical_prote in_conserved)
Source: RNAcentral